Molecule: non-coding RNA, 870 nt
Organism: Pelobates cultripes (western spadefoot toad)
Lineage: Eukaryota; Metazoa; Chordata; Amphibia; Anura; Pelobatidae
Source: the annotation of a GenBank genome assembly
CUGAUAUGUAAAACCAUAGAAUUCAUAUAAAGUGUACUUUCGUUUCCCCAUGAUGUCUCCAGGUCACCUAUUUUGGCAUUCAAUUUCCAAUUUGUUGGUGAAUUUUCAACAAUUCAUAGUUAAAUCAUACCUCCCAACAUUGUGAGGUAUAUAAUAAGGAAGGGGGUGCAGACCUUCUAGGGGGCAUUGUCAGUGACGCCACUUGCGUCACUGACAACACCAACAUCAGGUCGGUGUCAGGUCGGCUCAGGAAGUGGGCGUGUUUGCCUGCCUAAGGAGGUGUCAUGCAUGCUCGGUUGGCCUCCUAUUUGCUGCUGAAGUACUCUCCACAUAGUCUUAGUACUCGUUUCACAGGGCUAGUGUGUCAAAUGAUGCAUUCAUACAGUUCCCUGGUGUCCCCAGAUGUGGUCUCCGGAUGUUGUCCACCAGGGAACUAAAUUGGGCCAUUGGGACAGUACCCUGAAAUCAGGAAUGUGCUGCCAAAAGAGGGACUGUUGGGAGCCCUGUUUAACCCGUUAAGGACCAAACUUCUGGAAUAAAAGGGAAUAAUGACAUGUAUGACAUGUCAUGUGUCCUUAACGGGUUAAAUUAAAACCCUGUAAUAUCCCUUACAGUAAACUGAAAACAAUAUUAAUUCAGGCUAGAAUAGACAAGUUUUGCCUAUAAACGUAGAGAUUUUUUUUCCCUUCAGCGAUUGUUUACCAAAUUUUGCAACUGGCCUUUCAAUGUUCUACCAUUAAAGGAAUUGCUUGUAGUUUUCAGUAUCUGAAUUGGCCUUUCAAGUAACGAUGCUUAUUUUAAAUUUUGUGUUAAUCUUGUUUCAGAAACAUCUAGUCACUGCUUCCCUGAGACCACUGUAAGUUUUAUAGU